Molecule: long non-coding RNA, 5757 nt
Organism: Chinchilla lanigera (long-tailed chinchilla)
Lineage: Eukaryota; Metazoa; Chordata; Mammalia; Rodentia; Chinchillidae
Exons: 2
Source: RefSeq, a predicted model, not a curated record
ACUGGCUUUGGUCAUCAUCACCUUAGAGUUCGAGAGGCUCGAACCAGGCUGCUGUGAUCCUAUAUCUGAUCUGCUAAAGAAAGCACAGGUCAGUCUCUGAGCAGUUCAGCUGCUGCAAGGAGCUUGUACUGCAGCACCUGAAAAGUUUGUUGUCAUCCUCCCAAGCAGACAACUAGUCACCAGCACCCAGCUUCUUGGCCACUCCCCAGUGCUCCCGAGCAUGGUGGGAACCCUCAGACACCUGUGAAUUCUUUGGCUUGACUAAUCCUGUAAAGACAAGGGGAGCAAGCCCUGGAAGAGCAACUGGGGAAGUCCUGCAGGCCUCAGAAGAAAGCAGGGGCAGGGGUCAGCACAGGUAAGGGUGGUCUGACAGACACAACCCUACCUUCUCAUUUGUUCCUGGUGAAGCCAGGGAGAUGAGUGGGCCUUGAUCAGGACCGAAGGGCAGAGGCCAGUCCUCACUGACCACUUCCUGCUAGUCUACUCGCCAGACUGGCUGGGUCCUCCAGCCUCCCACACCUAUCCCAAAAUGUGUCCCUGUGCUUCUGUCCCAGCUGUUUGCCGUCUCUCCGCACCCUUUCACCCUGACGUGGCAGUGACUUACAUCUCGGGUCUGGAUCAUGAUUAGGCUUUAAUGUGUAGUAACCCUGAGCAAGCAGUAAGCACCUUCAUCCUUUGUCUCCUGCCCACUCCGACGACUGGGCCCAGGGCGCUCUGCCACUGAGCCACAUCCCCAGCGCUUUUGAUAUUUUGAGACGAGCUCUAGCCCAGUUGCCCAGGGUGGGCUCAAAUUUGUGAUUUUCCUGCUCCAGCUUUUAUUACUCUUAAGCAAAGGCACUUCCUGGAUUAACUAGAGGAAUGCCAUGCUGGCGAAUGGAUGUUACUGGGUACACCUGUGUGGCAGGCAGGGCUCUGAGAGCUUUUUGUUGGGCUGGGAGCAGGUUCUGGGGCCCAGGCUGCGCCCACUGCUGUGUAGUGAGGUUACUUGUGUGCCUGAGGGGGAGGCCAGCUGCCCCUCCCACGGCGAUACCACUGAACCCUCUGUGCACUGGCGCCCAGCUGGCGAAGCCGCCAGCUGGAGCUGUGUGCGUAGCACUGGGGGCCUAAGUGACUGAGCCACACGCUUAUCGGGGGUGGUGAAGUCUUCCUUUGUGACUUUCUUUUUUGUGAGUGCUGUGCUGUGGAGGAUGGGGAUGUAGCAGAGCGGUCAGGGACCAGAUCUACCAUAAUCACGUCUGCAUUGUAGACGGUAUAAUGCCACCUUUUCUUGUCACAUCUUGCUUUUGGGAGUUUACAUUAAAAUAAACUUUGUCAGUAAUGCCUGCAUCUUAUUGUGCAUUUGCGGCUACUAUUUAGACUUGCUAGAGUCAGACACACCUGGGGCGCUCUCCUGAUCAGUACAUCAGUAACCACUGAUCAGUAACCACCAUCCCGGCAGAUCCUGGGAAGACCGAAGUGAGAAAGCGGGGCGCGAAGCUUAGGGAGCUGCAGGGAAGGGAGGUGUCCUGAGAUGCCACGGGCUGCAGGCUGCUCACGGCCACAGCUGCCCUGCGCCUCCGCCCUUCCAGCGAGGGCCACUGGAGCAGGUGGGAAGGGGCUCAGUCUGAAGGCCCACACCAGCCCAUGCAGCUCAGGCUCUGGGGAACUGCUGGGAGGCUCCUGGGCCUCUGAACUCAGUGGCUCCAGCCAUAAACUCAGUCCCCAGAGCCACUGCCACUCUGCUGGGGGAACAGAGCAGCAGACCUGUGCACCCCAAUCUGAGUUAAGGACAGCCUUGUUGCCAUGCCUUUCUGCAAAUGCUGGACCUUCCAUCUGGGGCAGCUGACACGCGUGUUUUCAAAAAACUGAGCUCUGCCCAAGUUUGUCUUAGAUCCUACUCUAACAUUUCACAGACAUGGGGAACCCAGCAGGGGGAUUAACAGGCACAACCCAGCUUCCUUUUGUCCCCUCUCCAGAGGGGUAGGGAUUGGCGAAGGCCACAGCAAGCGGAAAUGGGAGAAAGCCCAGCGGCAGACGGAGUACAGGGGGCUCAUGUAGGAGACACCACCAACCUUUCUCAAACUUGUCCACAUACUCUUUCCCGGAUGAGUGGGUCAAGUUGGGCGAUGCUGCUCCCACACUGAGGGGGCCCAGCUCCUUCCUCAAAGCUUGAUGAGAACUUUGCCUCCCCUGCCACCUGCCUCCCCCAGUAGAGGUGAGCUACACCCUGCCAAGGCGGUCUGAAUGCCAGUCUUCCGGCCCAGCUCUCAGUUCCCGGACCUCUGCCCCUAUUUCCUCAUUUUCAGUCUUCCUAGGAUCAAAGCAAGGGCUUCAAUGAAUGGACUCAGUUCUGUGUGUGAUUUUCUUCAGCCACCAGUCUGCCCUUCCUUAGCCAAACACCGUCCCGCCUCUCCAAAACUACUGCUACAAGACUUCCACUGUCAAAGCCUAGACCUUAACAAGGCUCCAUCUGUACUCUCCCUCCGUGACUCUGCUGGAUGCCAAGGAGCAGCUACACCCAGGAAUUACAGAUGCAGACAACCAAUACUCGCAUCCCCCCUUCCAGUCACUUGAUGUGUGACCCUGGGUAACGCUGUCACCUCCCUGCCUCACCUAUACAACAGGGAGUGAUGAUGUCUAAUCUUGGGACCAUGAUGAAGGUCAGAGGCGUUAGUGCACGGAAUGCAGCCGAAUGCACACAAAUGUUAGUUGUCCCAGGUCCCCCUCGCGCCCUCCACCCCGUCACCCCAUCAAGACGCCCGGGCCGCAGACACAUUUGCUCUUUUCUGGAACUCUUGCCUCCCUGCUGCUCCCUUCCAAGAGCAACUCGCAGGUGCCUGGGGCAGCAUUCACCACUACAAUGCGAUUCCUCCCUCAGGUUCACAGCAAGACAAACUCGAUUUUACCACAGCUGUAGCGUAUUAAUAGGCUUGGGAAAUUUGUUAACUCAAAAGAGCUGCCCAAAAAAGACACCAUAAAAACUCAAAAUAAAUGCAAAAUUUAAUGGGAAAAAAAAAAAAAACAGUACAAAGUGAAUGGAGAGGAACAAAAACAGUCAAUGAAUGAGUAAAUGAAUUAACAAGUGAAGCAGUUUUAGAAAAGCAUGUUAACAUAACAGACUAGCACGGCACGCUCCCUCAGCCUCUCACCCAGUAACGAGCCCCACAGACAGACAGACAGACAGACAGACAGACAUAACUGCAGUCAGUCUGUACAGUCGCGAACCAUAGCCCGUAGUGAAUGAGACCACACAUCCUGGUGGGUUUGGGGCGGUUCCAGUUCAGGGCCGCUGGCCGAGCGAGCGUAGUGAUUAACCACACCCCCUUUCACCCUCACAAGUCCCAAUUAUAUGGUGAUUCUACCCCAAACCAACGUGGCUCUGGGAAGACAUGAUAGUAAACGCCAAGGCGGUCCUACGUGACGUCCCAAAUAAUGCCAACGAAUGAGGAGGAAAGGGGGGUAAAUCAGAUCUGCACAUGGGAGUCACGCUCCAUGACAGGGGGCUGGUUAAAGAAUGUCAGACUUUAUGCUCACCCUGUACACCAAGACGUAAUCUGGUCUCAGCUCAAGAUGACCGAAUUCCAAACACAACGGCAAGGGGAGAGGUGCACUGAGGUGGGCUAAAGCAGACCCCAAAACUGCAGGUGAUGCUGGGCAGGCUCAGGUCGGCAGGCCAGCAGCCAACCACAGCAAGGCCUUCCCUGGCCCAGGCUGCCCAGCGGGCUGCGGUGGGCAGGUGGCAGGGUCUGCCCAGGACAGGCAGGCAUCCUCGCUCUCACAGAAGCACUGCUGGUCACUGAGCCUUGCUGUCAAAACCCAUCAGCCAGGAGAGGCUGCGUCAAAGGCCGAGCUCUGACCCAGGUGUGUAUACUUUCAGACACGGACACAGCCUGUGGAGGAGCUGCUCGCCAUCCACGCCAGCCUUUGAGUGUGCGGGGCCCAUGAAGCUCUAUCUUCAAGGCCCCUUCUAAGGGCUGUACCUAAUUCUACAUUUAUAUUUUUCUGUUUAACAUGGUCUCCCUAGAUAGUUCAAGUUUCCAGCCUUGGUCAUGGUGUAACACUUGGAGAAUUUUCAUUUGGCGUAUCAAUAAAACCUCCUCUACUGCUGGCAUGAGGAGCCCCUCACCCAUACAGGCUGCCCCUUUCCGGCUGUGCCUCGGUGGACCUGUAAGAGCCCAUCCUUCCUCUUUGGUGUGGUAGGGUGUUGAAACAAGGUCUCCUAUAUAAUUCAAGCUGGCCUUGAAUGCAUUAUGUGGCCAGACCCAGUGAUCCUCCUGCCUCAGCCUCCCAAGUGCUGGGAGUAUAGGCAUGCACCACUGUGCCUGGCUCUCCCUCCAUCUAUCAACUCAGUAUCAUCUCAGAGGGGCAGGAGGAAGCCCAGCCUUGGUCCUGGAAAUCGACAAAACAGGCCAGGCAGAGAGGGAGAAAUGGUGAUGGGAAGAAAUACAGGGGCAUAAAAAGCUACCAACCCAGCAAUACCGAGCACAGCCUCGCAGGGCUCCGCUGCAGGGAGCAUGCCAGGCUGUGAGAGCCGGAGGGCCCUGCACUGCGCUGCAGCACAGACAGCACCUCUUACCUCCCAGUGUGACAGGCCGAGUGUCCCCCCAACAUUCCCAGGCGCUUGCAGACCACCAAGAGCGUAGAGGAAUGAAUGCUGCUAGGAUGUUCUUAAAAAUGUUCUUCUGUAGAGUGCAGCCAGAGCGGGGAAAGCCCCAGGCUGCUAAUUUUUUCUCAAUUUGUCCUAAAUAUAUCAGGUAGUCCCCUCCUCUUUGCCCUGUCCCUCAGCCUGGAAGGAAGAAACAAUGAGCUCAGGGCAGCUGCCUCUUCCCCAGAGCAGAGCUCUUUGCACUGGAAAGUGAGGUUGGCUGGGAGUCUUACUGGGAAUCCAACACUUAACACACAGACAUGGCAUUGGUCCCUUUCCUGGGAAGCACCUCCAGCCAGAGACAAUGGCUUUGGGCUGCUGUUCCAUUUACAUUCACAGUAAAAAUGCUGGACGUGGUCUUGCUCCUGUUCCACUUUCAUUGGUAAAGAAAGUUCAAACACUGUCAUUACAGGAAGUUUAUUGCCCACCUCUCCCUGUAUAUUAUAGGAGUACUCUGUACAUAAGAAAGGCUUAGAGGUUUUUUAGUUUUUAAAAACCAGGGAGUCUGGGUUACUUACAAAAAUAAUGGGAGAGGAUAUUAUUUGUCUUUAUGCUGGUGCCAAAAUAAAAAUUCAGAAGUGUCUCAAAGUUAUUACUGAAAUUAAACUCUAGGUUAGAAAAAAUUAAAAUGAAGGGGGAGCGGGCGAUCCUGCAGCGUUUACCAGACCAUAGGCUGCGCCUGGGGCACCUCGGGAGUCACCAUCUGGACGCUGAACAAUGAGGCCUAGCAUGGCGGCUGGGCCUUCGCUAGAGUGGCUUACACCUGCUCCGUCAAGGGAUAGUGACACUGUAAAUGGAAGACCAGCCACUGGCUCUGAAAAAAACAAACCUCGUCAGUUUUGGGUUCCAGCAUUCAUGGCUUUUGUACGUUUGCAUAGAGGGCGUGGCCUGCAGACCUAAGGGUGCCUGGGGCCGGGCUGGGCUGGGCUGGGCUGGGGUGGGGCAGGGCAGUAAACACUGGAGUCUGUCCAGGCUCCCAGUCCGUCCUCACACCAUGUUAUGGGAGAAGGGUCACAAGGUGUAACUCAAGCAACUUAACACAUGAAAGUCUUAACACAUGAAAGUCCGCUCUUGACAUGUAAGUCUGUGCGUGCGUUAACUGAAAAAUAAAAAUAAAACAAACAAAACAAAAA